Molecule: long non-coding RNA, 988 nt
Organism: Rhagoletis pomonella (apple maggot)
Lineage: Eukaryota; Metazoa; Arthropoda; Insecta; Diptera; Tephritidae
Exons: 4
Source: RefSeq, a predicted model, not a curated record
AACUCGACUUAUUUUUUCGGUCAAAUAUAAAAGUUAAAAUUAGACUUUUAUUUUUUCGGUCAAAAUGGCAGUUUACAUAUUCACAAUACAAUAGGGGAGCUCACGUUGAAUAGCAUUUUAGGUGUAAAGUUGCUACGUAGCAAUCUAGCACGCAUUUUGUUGAUGGAAGAGCAAAUGCUACGGAAAGUGAGUACCGCUAUUAUACUACUGAAAGUAAGUACCGCUAAUAUAUUUUAUUUAUUUAAAUAAAUAAAUAAUAUAUUUUAAUAAAAAGUGAACACCCUUCCAAUUUCUGUUUUCUAUCUUCUGUAAAUGUGUUGAGUUUCUUUAAUUUAGGCUUUAAGUUAUUCACCUUUUUACUGGAAUGAUUCGGAAUUCAAUUUAACAAUUAAUUUGAAAUAGCUGCAAAGUUCUGCUCCGACAAAUUGUAACGCAAAUCGCUAAGAAGUAAGCUUAGUGUCGAGAACGCGCGUUCUACAGUAACUUGUGUCGCUGGAAAUUGAUGUAUAAUACAUGCCAGAUUUUUUAGUCGGGGAUAUAUAAAUUUUUUACUCUCCCAGUAAUCCAUAAGCUACAUAACUUUUUCGGGCAUCUUACUGUGCUUUAAAUUGAUCUGUACACUCUGAGAAAACAUCUUAAUAAUACCAUAGUAAUCAUUUGAGAAUACUUUCAAGAAACUCGGUAUGUUUUUGUUGACUAAUUCGGAACAAAACUGUGGAUACUUGCGAUAUGACGGCUGCAGAUCAUCCCAGAUGGAAAUUGUGAGCAUUGAUUGUAAACAUCGGAUGAUUGUUGGCGGCUGAACACCGUAUAGACAUGUUCGGUACGUUCGCUGGAAUAUACAAGAAUAAUAUCAGGGUACAGAAGGUUACAAAAGAUUGUCUGUAUAUAAUAAGUAUUCAGAGCUGAAGCUGGGCCAAGGUGUGACCCUUGCGGGACUCCAGAUACAACGUAUAGAAGAAAAUGUCACCAACGUCAGCAAAAAAAA